This 496-nucleotide ribosomal RNA is filed under the name uncultured bacterium. RNAcentral describes it as "partial 16S ribosomal RNA". It matches the Rfam family "Bacterial small subunit ribosomal RNA", at positions 29 to 507 of the family's 1533-position model. The record is from RNAcentral.
AUGAACGCUGGCGGCGUGCCUAAUACCUGCAAGUCGAGCGAACAGACGAGGAGCUUGCUCCUCUGACGUUAGCGGCGGACGGGUGAGUAACCCGUGGAUAACCUACCUAUAAGACUGGGAUAACUUCGGGAAACCGGAGCUAAUACCGGAUAAUAUAUUGAACCGCAUGGUUCAAUAGUGAAAGACGGUUUUGCUGUCACUUAUAGAUGGAUCCGCGCCGCAUUAGCUAGUUGGUAAGGUAACGGCUUACCAAGGCAACGAUGCGUAGCAGACCUGAGAGGGUGAUCGGCCACACUGGAACUGAGACACGGUCCAGACUCCUACGGGAGGCAGCAGUAGGGAAUCUUCCGCAAAGGGCGAAAGCCUGACGGAGCAACGCCGCGUGAGUGAUGAAGGUCUUCGGAUCGUAAAACUCUGUUAUUAGGGAAGAACAAAUGUGUAAGUAACUAUGCACGUCUUGACGGUACCUAAUCAGAAAGCCACGGCUAACUACGUG